CCACUUGUAUGGUUUAGGCAUGGCACAUGAGUUGUAAAUUGUAUUUCCCUUUCAUGCCUUCAUGUUGUAUUGUGUAGAUCCCCCCAUUGUGGGUCAAAUGUCUCCCACCCCCUAGUCAUGUAAUAACUUAGAUUUAUUGCUUUCUAGCUAGCUUACUAUACAUGUUAAUAACCAAGAUAAAAUACAAAACUAUAAACAAAGCAUUUCAAAAAAAACAAAAGGUACUUGAUUCAACGUCAAGUUAUUUUUCCGAAUAAAACCCAC
Molecule: long non-coding RNA, 264 nt
Filed under: Lathyrus oleraceus (garden pea)
Lineage: Eukaryota; Viridiplantae; Streptophyta; Magnoliopsida; Fabales; Fabaceae
Description: Pisum sativum (pea) long non-coding RNA (PSAT_LNC005871)
Source: RNAcentral